AAAGGAAUUGACGGGGGCCCGCACAAGCAGCGGAGCAUGUGGUUUAAUUCGAAGCAACGCGAAGAACCUUACCAGAGCUUGACAUCGUCUGAAUUACCCGUAAUGGGGGAAGUCCUUCGGGACAGAUAGACAGGUGGUGCAUGGUUGUCGUCAGCUCGUGUCGUGAGAUGUUGGGUUAAGUCCCGCAACGAGCGCAACCCCUAUUGCUAGUUGCCAUCAUUAAGUUGGGCACUCUAGUGAGACUGCCGGAGACAAUUCGGAGGAAGGUGGGGAUGACGUCAAAUCAUCAUGCCCCUUAUGUUCUGGGCUACACACGUGCUACAAUGGGUGUAACAACGGGAAGCAAGCCGGCAACGGUAAGCCAACCUCUAAAAAGCACCCUCAGUUCGGAUUGCAGGCUGAAACCCGCCUGCAUGAAGUUGGAGUUGCUAGUAAUCGCGAAUCAGCAUGUCGCGGUGAAUACGUUCCCGGGCCUUGUACACACCGCCCGU
Molecule: ribosomal RNA, 491 nt
Filed under: uncultured bacterium
Lineage: Bacteria
Description: bacterial SSU rRNA
Rfam family: Bacterial small subunit ribosomal RNA
Source: RNAcentral